This 986-nucleotide long non-coding RNA is filed under the name Gallus gallus (chicken). RNAcentral describes it as "long non-coding RNA NONGGAT002768". Lineage: Eukaryota; Metazoa; Chordata; Aves; Galliformes; Phasianidae. The record is from RNAcentral.
GGGAGCCGCUGAGAGCCGAGAGAAAGCGGUGAUAAGACGAUGAUGUCGCUCAGAGAACCGAGAUUGAGAAAGACCGGAGCAAGCUGAUAUGGCUGGAGAGGGGCACGAGAAUGAGGGCACAGCUGGCCCUGCAGAGCUGAGAAAAUCCCCUCAGAAAAGAGGGCACAGCAUUUCACCAUCUCGUUCCUUCAGACCAGCUCCUGGUAUAAAGUGAUGUAUACUGAAAGUACCAAACCAAAGGAAAAGAGCAUCACCAAAGCAGGGAAGUUUGCUACACACAGAUGCUUCCAUCCAGAGCAGGCAAGAGAGAAGUGAGACAGGUUUUAAUUACCUCAGUUCCAUGCCUUGGCAGUACAGCCCAGUGCAGUCCCUCAGGUGAGCAGCUCACCCCUGGGCUUCUCCCAUCUCCAGCCCAGCUUUUCCCACCUUGCUCUCUUCUGCUUUCAUUUCCAUCUGCACAUUUAAGUUCCAUCUUCUAAUUGUAAUUCUUUAACUUCAUGCUUUCAGUCCAGUGCUCUGAAUAACUGCAGUUGGCUUCUCCACUGCUAAUUUACUCAUAGUAGAAAAAUCAGUAACUGCCCCCCAACUCUGUUCUCUAAAGCCUCUGGAAACCUGCUGCAUUUACCCUGAAAAACAAGGGCCCCAUCCCUCAGGAAGCAGGCACAACCCAGCCGCAUGACAUCAAUGCAGUUCUCUGGCCAGAUUCUUUAACAAUGUAAAGGAGGUAUCUUUCAUCUGAUUCCUAAGUGAAUAAGAAACUUGAAGGAAACAGGAGGGUAGCAACAAGGCAUCUUCUUGAAUCUCUCAUUUUCCUGAACAAGUGCAAUGAUGAGAGAUCUUGUUGGACACAGAAGAGAAGAGAGACAAUAUUUGUCUGGAGCAGCUCUUGCCAGAUGAGAAAUCCCUCAGUGUGCACACAGUUGUUUGACCACCUCGCACAGAGAAUAAAGAAACAGAUUUUGGCUCCACACCUCUCUGAUGGGCUC